CAUCAGAUGAGAAAGACGCUUUAAGCAGGCUCAUUUUAAAGAAUACAGUGAAUCCUCCAUAUCUAUGGACUCUGGACCUAUUGAUUCAACAAACAGCUGGUUAAAAAUAUUUUAAUGUUUAGCUUGUUUUUAAUUAAAAUUACAGUUUUCAACCCCUCUCAAUAUGUUACUCUAAAUGUCACUAGAAAUACAACAUCACAAGCUAGCCUCUGGGAGGGACCUGCUUGCUGGCACUGACGCAGUGGCGUUGCUGGCAGCCCUGAUGUGCCCUUGGCCUGAUUAGCAGUGCGGAUGCCAAAGGGCUCUGAGGAUGGUCCCUGGCUACAUUGGAGCAGAUCCAGAGCAAAUAAAUCCAAUAAGUGUUGACAAACUAGUCUAGCUUCAUUCUAGGGAAGCACUGAGAGAAAAGAAGUAGGAAAACACCCCUAAAGACAUUUAUAUCUCUGAGGAAUCGGGACAGGCAAAACCAGACUGAGUAGUACCUUGAGCAGAAUGAAGUUUCUUUAUAUUUUCCUAUUUGUCAUGUUAUUGUUCCACCAGGUCUACCUGGACAAAUCAGGCACGGGGCGAUGUAGGAGAUUAAAGGGAGUUUGCCGACAUACACUUUGUCAUCCUGUGGAAGUCUAUGUUGGCCGAUGCAACAACGGAAUGGGAAAUUGCUGUGUUGAUGAUGCUGAAGACAUUAGGAAGUACAGACAGUAGAAUCCCAAUUGGCAAUGCCAGUGAAGAAGCAGGGAUAAACAGUCCAAAACAAUGGUUGUGAACUCCAUUGAUCAAGAGAGAAAGCAAAUAUUGGAUUCUAUGUUAUCAAAAUAAAUAUGAUUAAUCGUUCUGAACUUAUAUAUAUAUUUGUCCAGUUUUUUUAAAAAAAAUUCUUAAAAAUGGGGGGGGGGGGGGGCAGGGGCAAAAAUAACUGUCACACCCCAGAAAUUUUAUGGAACAUUAUCUGGAGGAAAGUCACUAUAAGAAUAAUAGAACCAUAGCAUUAUAAGGUUUAAAGGGCUGCAAGAGCCACUUAAUCCAACCCCACUCUGCCAUGCGAAGAUACAUGAUUAAAACAUUCUUGAAAGAUGCCCAUCCAGCUUCCAUUUAAAGACCUCCAAAGAUGGGGAGUCCACCACUCUCCAAGGCAAUCUAUUCCAUUGCCAAAUAUCUCUUAUAGUAAAAAGUUUUCCAUAAAGUGUAGGUCAGGGGUAUCCAAACAUUUAAAGCCGAGGGCCAGUUCACGGUCCCUAAGCCUAUUGGGGUGGCCAGACUAUAGUUUGAAAAACACAUGAAUGCAUUCAUAUGCACACUGUAUAUGUCUUAUUAGUAGUGCAAAAUAAUCCCCAUGAAAGAACAAUGCAAUAUAUAAAACGAAGAACAAUAUUAACCUACAUAAACAUACCAGUCUUUCAGUGGUAAGUGUGGACCUGCUUUUGGCUGAUGAGAGAGUCAAGUUAAUUAGGGUUGCUGUUGUUGUGUGCCUUCAACUCAUUUGUGACAGUGGCAUAUGCUGCCUUAAUGUCUGGUGGAGUCUCCUUCAUG
This 1527-nucleotide long non-coding RNA is filed under the name Anolis carolinensis (green anole). RNAcentral's name for it is "lncRNA (ENSACAG00000044715.1)". The record is from RNAcentral. Lineage: Eukaryota; Metazoa; Chordata; Lepidosauria; Squamata; Anolidae.